AACGAACGCUGGCGGCAUGCCUAACACAUGCAAGUCGAACGAGACCUUCGGGUCUAGUGGCGCACGGGCGCGUAACGCGUGGGAACCUGCCCUUAGGUUCGGAAUAACUCCCCGAAAGGGGUGCUAAUACCGGAUAAUGUCUUCGGACCAAAGAUUUAUCGCCUUUGGAUGGGCCCGCGUUGGAUUAGCUAGUUGGUAGGGUAAAAGCCUACCAAGGCGACGAUCCAUAGCUGGUCUGAGAGGAUGAUCAGCCACACUGGGACUGAGACACGGCCCAGACUCCUACGGGAGGCAGCAGUGGGGAAUAUUGGACAAUGGGCGAAAGCCUGAUCCAGCAAUGCCGCGUGAGUGAUGAAGGCCUUAGGGUUGUAAAGCUCUUUUACCCGGGAUGAUAAUGACAGUACCGGGAGAAUAAGCGCCGGCUAACUCCGUG
Molecule: ribosomal RNA, 433 nt
Filed under: uncultured bacterium
Lineage: Bacteria
Description: partial 16S ribosomal RNA
Rfam family: Bacterial small subunit ribosomal RNA
Source: RNAcentral